CGGGGUGAGUAACGCGUGGGUAACCUGCCUCAUACAGGGGGAUAACAGUUGGAAACGGCUGCUAAUACCGCAUAAGCCCACGGCUCGGCAUCGAGCAGAGGGAAAAGGAGCAAUCCGCUUUGAGAUGGCCUCGCGUCCGAUUAGCUAGUUGGUGAGGUAAUGGCCCACCAAGGCAACGAUCGGUAGCCGGACUGAGAGGUUGAACGGCCACAUUGGGACUGAGACACGGCCCAG
Molecule: ribosomal RNA, 234 nt
Filed under: uncultured bacterium
Lineage: Bacteria
Description: partial 16S ribosomal RNA
Rfam family: Bacterial small subunit ribosomal RNA
Source: RNAcentral